This 500-nucleotide ribosomal RNA is filed under the name uncultured bacterium. Its description in RNAcentral is "partial 16S ribosomal RNA". It matches the Rfam family "Bacterial small subunit ribosomal RNA", at positions 30 to 523 of the family's 1533-position model. The record is from RNAcentral.
AUUGAACGCUGGCGGAAUGCUUUACACACGCAAGUCGAACGGCAGCACGGACUUCGGUCUGGUGGCGAGUGGCGAACGGGUGAGUAAUGUAUCGGAACGUGCCCAGUCGUGGGGGAUAACGUAGUGAAAAUUACGCUAAUACCGCAUACGAUCUAUGGAUGAAAGCGGGGGAUCGCAAGACCUCGCGCGAUUGGAGCGGCCGAUAUCAGAUUAGGUAGUUGGUGGGGUAAAGGCCCACCAAGCCAACGAUCUGUAGCUGGUCUGAGAGGACGACCAGCCACACUGGAACUGAGACACGGUCCAGACUCCUACGGGAGGCAGCGGUGGGGAAUUUUGGACAAUGGGCGAAAGCCUGAUCCAGCUAUUCCGCGUGCAGGAUGAAGGCCCUCGGGUUGUAAACUGCUUUUGUACAGAACGAAAAGGUUUCUACUAAUACUAGGAGCUCAUGACGGUACUGUAAGAAUAAGCACCGGCUAACUACGUGCCAGCCGCCGCCGUAA